UACGUAGGGGGCGAGCGUUGUUCGGAAUCACUGGGCGUAAAGGGAGCGUAGGCGGGUUUUUAAGUCAGGUGUUUAAUCCCGGGGCCCAACCCCGGACAGGCACUUGAAACUGGGAAUCUUGAAUAGGGGAGAGGUCGGUGGAAUUGGAGGUGUAGCGGUGGAAUGCGUAGAGAUCUCCAAGAACACCCGUUGCGAAGGCGGCCGACUGGACCCAUAUUGACGCUGAGGCUCGAAAGCAUGGGGAGCAAACAGG
Molecule: ribosomal RNA, 253 nt
Filed under: uncultured bacterium
Lineage: Bacteria
Description: partial 16S ribosomal RNA
Rfam family: Bacterial small subunit ribosomal RNA
Source: RNAcentral